UGAAAAUGGGACUGUCCAGAAUUAAUCUUUCGUCUUGUUUUGCUCUCCUCUUCUGUACACAGACACACUCUGAUUGAGAGAAACACCACCGACCAUUGGGGUAACGGUAUCGUAUUUGGCUAUACUGACAACUACAGAAAGGAGAUGCUGGGCAACGUUCUAGAAUGACAAGGUAUCUUUUUAGUGGGGACUGAAUUUGCCAUCUUACUAGCAAAGAAAGCAGGGGGAACACUGCCAUGGCCUGGUGCUACCAAAUAUUCAUUGGCCAUCUGAAUUUUCAGGCUAGUAUUUCAACUAUCU
RNAcentral lists this long non-coding RNA (300 nucleotides) under Saimiri boliviensis boliviensis (Bolivian squirrel monkey). RNAcentral describes it as "lncRNA (ENSSBOG00000036787.1)". The record is from RNAcentral. Lineage: Eukaryota; Metazoa; Chordata; Mammalia; Primates; Cebidae.